This 23-nucleotide microRNA is filed under the name Bombyx mori (domestic silkworm). Its description in RNAcentral is "bmo-miR-2755-3p". RNAcentral also lists the same sequence under 3 other names. Lineage: Eukaryota; Metazoa; Arthropoda; Insecta; Lepidoptera; Bombycidae. The record is from miRBase by way of RNAcentral.
CACCCUGUCAGACCAUACUUGUU